AUUCAUCCAUAAUAUAUUAUAUUAAAUUAUUUCUAUAUAAUAAAAAUUAAUUUAAAUUAAAAAAAUAGUGGUUUACUCAGUUUUUAUUAUUUUUAUAUAUAAAUGAUUUUUACCAACCCUAUUACCCUGGAUUCAUAGUGAAGAGCGAUUGCGAUUUAACCGCGAUAUCGCAGCGAUUCUCAUAGUGCAAAGCGAUUUUAUUAAUUUAAAAUGGUAUCCAUCGUUAAAUUAUAUUUUUAUACAAAAUGAUAUUGAAGAGGAGAAGAUUAAACAAUCUUAAUAUUAAUAAAAGAAAAGAGGGCGAAUUUAACACCACCUUUCCUAAAAAAUAAGGCGAAAUUUAAUUAUAUGAGAAUGACCAAAGAAACUUUUUAUUACAUAUUAAAGAUAUAAAAUCAGUAUUAUAUUCUACAACCACAAAGAAGAACUUAUGUUUGUCUUUAAUAAACUACUGGCUGUAGGUAUCCUACAUUACCCAUACCUUCAAAAUGGGGAUUUCAACAAUCCAAAAAAUUAUUAGGACCAUAUGCCUAACUAUAUGGCAAACUUUAGUAAGCAUUAAUAUGCCACUACCUUCUUUCACUGACUUUGAGAAGAUAGCAAAGGAGUUUGAAAUAAAGUGGAAUUUACCAAACUGUGUGGGUAAUAUUGAUGGAAAACACUGCCGAAUUAAAAAGCUCCCAAACAUUUUUUCUAGUUGUUUUACAAGGUAUCCUUACACCACAACAAGAGGCCUAUAAUUAUCGGAUAUUGCGUGGAAUGUGCGUUUGAUAUCUUAAGAGCUAAAUGGAUGAUCUUUCGUCCUAUGGAUACUAAAUUACCACUUACUGAAAAUAUCAUACAAACUUGCACAUAACUAGAUAACAUUAUUAUUGAUAAGGAAAGAUUUACUAUUUUUAAUCCUAAAAAAAAUCAACAUUGUAAAUUUAUUUAAGCAACAAUAUAUUAAAUCAUCGUCAAA
Gordionus sp. m RMFG-2023 is the source of this 961-nucleotide long non-coding RNA. RefSeq lists it as uncharacterized. The transcript has 5 exons. The record is from RefSeq and is a predicted model, not a curated record. Lineage: Eukaryota; Metazoa; Nematomorpha; Gordioida; Chordodea; Parachordodidae.